UGAGGUGGGAGCUUAAAGACCUUUGACCUU
RNAcentral lists this non-coding RNA (30 nucleotides) under Rattus norvegicus (Norway rat). The record is from RNAcentral. Lineage: Eukaryota; Metazoa; Chordata; Mammalia; Rodentia; Muridae.